RNAcentral lists this non-coding RNA (24 nucleotides) under Arabidopsis thaliana (thale cress). The record is from RNAcentral. Lineage: Eukaryota; Viridiplantae; Streptophyta; Magnoliopsida; Brassicales; Brassicaceae.
AAGUCUGUUGGGAGGGAUCUCUUC